This 213-nucleotide ribosomal RNA is filed under the name uncultured bacterium. RNAcentral describes it as "partial 16S ribosomal RNA". It matches the Rfam family "Bacterial small subunit ribosomal RNA", at positions 29 to 271 of the family's 1533-position model. The record is from RNAcentral.
AGCGAACGCUGGCGGCAGGCCUAACACAUGCAAGUCGAACGAUCCUUCGGGAUAGUGGCGGACGGGUGAGUAACACGUGGGAACGUGCCUUUUGGUUCGGAAUAACGCAGGGAAACUUGCGCUAAUACCGGAUGAGCCCUACGGGGGAAAGAUUUAUCGCCGAAAGAGCGGCCCGCGUUAGAUUAGCUAGUUGGUGGGGUAAAGGCCCACCAA